This is a non-coding RNA of Pimephales promelas (fathead minnow), 300 nucleotides long. The record is from RefSeq and is a predicted model, not a curated record. NCBI's taxonomy places the organism in Eukaryota, Metazoa, Chordata, Actinopteri, Cypriniformes, Leuciscidae.
CAAGUGAAGCUGUACUUCAUGUCAUGGUUUAUUGGAACUAUAGUCUGUUAUGACGGUCCUGACGGAGAGCUACUCUAGUCUUUGUCUAUAAGCAACAGAGCAAUAGAAGAUCCCUCGUGUACUUCACCAGCAGAACGGGAGACAUUGCAGAAAUCAUGGAGGAAUGUCAGAAAGGAAUUUCCUUGGAUUUGUUCCUGCAUUGCUCUCUUGUUCCUGCUGUCUUCAUUGUGUUUCUGCUUUCAUUUGUACAGCGCAGAGCGAAGGCUCAGCCCUUUGAGAAUCGCUUUCCGUAUCUCAGGG